UGAUUUUCGUCAUAGUAGUCAUAGCGUAGUAAGGAUUCACUAUGGAGGUCCCUUACAAGUUAGAAGUGAUUGCUUUGACUACAAUCAUCAUUAAACUGGGUGUCUCAGUUUUCCCAUAUUCUGGCAAAAAUCAACCUCCAAAAUUUGGAGAUUAUGAAGCUCAAAGACAUUGGAUGGAAAUUACGGUUAACUUACCCAUACAGGAUUGGUAUAGAAAUACAACAGACAAUGAUUUAUUGUACUGGGGACUGGAUUACCCUCCUCUCACAGCAUAUCAAAGCUACCUAACUGGAUCGGUGGCUAAGAAAAUCAACCAAGACUAUGUAAAACUCCAUGUGUCUCAGGGAUUUGAAAACUUUGACCACCAAUAUUUCAUGAGGAUGUCCGUCCUUGUGUCUGAUUGUAUUUUCUUUGUCAGUGCACUUUAUUUUUACAUUAGAAGCUUGAAGAUGAGUAAUAAGUACAAAUGGGUUUUCUUUGCUUUGUCCUCACACUCUGGACUCACCCUUAUAGAUUAUGGUCAUUUUCAGUACAAUUGUGUUUCGUUGGGGUUGACCUUGUGGGCAAUCAUUUUUGUUUCUCAGGGAAAGAAUGUGUUAGCAGCAAUUGCCUUUUCAGCUGCCUUAAACUUUAAGCAGAUGGAGUUGUAUCAUGCAAUACUUCUAUUUGCUGGCUUCUAUUUGCUGGCUUCCUGUCAACCUAAAGGUUCCUCACUUCCCUCCCAACUAAAGAAUUUGGUCCAGAUUGGCGCUGCCACAGUGGCGACCUUUGCAAUCAUUUGGUAUCCAUUUCUUCAAAUUCAUGAUUGGCUUUUACAGCAAGUCAUCGUCAGACUCUUUAUUCCUUUUCAGCGUGGAAUCUUUGAAGACUAUGUCGCCAAUUUUUGGUGCACGCUAAAUGUUGUGAUCAAAAUCAAACGACUAUUAAACCCAACCUCAAUCACCUCGGGAACUAUCACCUAGGCCAUGCCCGUGCCUGAAAGAAAAAGUCAGGACGUUGAUUCGAACGGAUUCGAAUGCAACGAGCACUAAGUACGGUCACAUUAUUGGAGGAAUGACCGUGUGCUUGGUUCGUGAUUUGGAGUCACAAGUGAUAGCUGCAAGCUGAUAUCACUCGAACCACUGCACCAACCCGACUAAGCAUGAUCGAAAAAAGCUGCAGCUCAUUAUGGCGUCAGUUUAGCUUUAAUGCUAAAUUUCGCAAACACGGUGAACUAGAUUGACAAUAAUAAAAAAUGAACUUUAUUCGUCA
Molecule: unclassified non-coding RNA, 1251 nt
Filed under: Daphnia magna
Lineage: Eukaryota; Metazoa; Arthropoda; Branchiopoda; Diplostraca; Daphniidae
Description: dolichyl pyrophosphate Man9GlcNAc2 alpha-1,3- glucosyltransferase-like, transcript variant X1
Source: RNAcentral